CCUCUGUUUCCUGGCUGCAUCAUCCUGCUCUAGUGAACACACAAUCUGCCAACGGGACAAGAGUUGCACAGGAAACAAAUGCAUCAGUCAAGUAAUCGGUGAAUUGCUUAAGGCCUGGUUCACACUGGAUGUGUGGCGUGACUGCUGCAUCACGCUCCUCAUUUUAUCUACUCAGAUUGACAGAGAGGAUCUGCCCUUCACCUGAUGUAAUUAUAACCAACGCAGUUGCAGCCUCCACCUUCUCCACAUACAGCUACUGAUAUAGCUUUAGAUGUUUAUCGUGUAUUCAGAUGUAUGUCAAUGUCAUUAUCGUUUGCUGCGUGUGAACACUUCAAACAAUACAAACGAUGAAACGUGCCGUACGUCCACUGUGAAUCAGGCUUUACGUUAUCAGCAGGUGAGUGUUUCCUAAAGGAAUGAGAGACUCGUGACCGCAAGCUCACCGUAAUCCAAAUGUGAAAAGAGCGGAUGAAGAAUAACAACUUGAACCAGAUUGUUGACAUACAGAGCAGAGUACUACAGCAUCACGUCUCUAUCACAGUUGUGUGUUUAGAGUGACAAUGUUACGUACCUCCUCGGUGUAUUUGCCCACAUAGGAGUAAAUCUCGCUGAGGGAGCUCAUGGUGUUGAACUCAUUCAUGUGCAUCCGUGACUGUUCUGCCAAGUAGGCAUUCAUGUCCUGGUCGCUGAUCGCUUGCAUCUUACCGAUGUCCGAGUAGUAUCUAUUAAAAAGAAAGAAGAAGAAGAAGAAAAAAAAAAAAAGAGAGAGCAAGAAGCAAGCAUGAGCAUUGUUAGAUAAAGUGAAAUUUAGUGUGAAACAGAAUCACAGAUUUCCUCCAGUGCCGUGUUUUUACAGAGAUAGUGCUGCUGAUUUCCAUCAGAGCUCGAUGCUCUUUGAGGAUAUUUAACUAAUGUACGUAGCACGGAGGUAACAAGUGUGUUGCAUAGUAACAUAACUGAAAAUCAGUCAUGUUAGACACCGACAGGCCCUAGGAUUUAACUUUGAGCACAGUACAACAGUACACACACCCACACACACACUGCAUUGAGGUAAAGGCAAUCAGUCACUGUCAGGAGCAGCUGUGUUGCCCCUAUCAACUAUGUUAAUUAAAGCUGCUUAUUUACAUAUUAAAUUCCUGCAGCUUCAGCCGCUGGAGGACAGGCCCCGUGUUUGGCUGGCUGAUUUGGGGGAGUGUGUGAGAGAGAGAGAGAGGGGAGAUCUUUUGCCAGGAAAUAAGUCUUCAGAGCACAGGAAAAAGGCAGCUCUUGUAGCUGGGGAUGUCCUUGGCGUAAAGCAGCUUGUUGGAGGGUGAGUCCUUCCCAAGGCGGUGUUCUGAGGUGGAGCAGGAGUCCAUGAAGGUCUGAGCCACCACAGACAGGCAGGCAUCCGUGAUGCUGCUCUUGUGGAUGUCAAACACAAACUGGGGGUUCUUGAUCACAUUCACCCAGAAACGCAGAGGUGGUGGCUGGCUCUCAUUUUUCCAGCAGUGUCCAGAGGUCCUCACUGGAGCAGCACAGAGACACAGUUCAUAUCACCUUGUUUGUGCAAGUGGCUUCUAUAUUUUGCACCUGUCCAGAAUAAUAAAAACAUACAAGUGUGU
Solea senegalensis (Senegalese sole) is the source of this 1601-nucleotide long non-coding RNA. RefSeq lists it as uncharacterized. Lineage: Eukaryota; Metazoa; Chordata; Actinopteri; Pleuronectiformes; Soleidae. The record is from RefSeq and is a predicted model, not a curated record. The transcript is spliced from 4 exons.